This 2366-nucleotide long non-coding RNA is filed under the name Nicotiana tabacum (common tobacco). Its description in RNAcentral is "long non-coding RNA (NTAB_LNC010984)". Lineage: Eukaryota; Viridiplantae; Streptophyta; Magnoliopsida; Solanales; Solanaceae. The record is from RNAcentral.
ACUUAAUGACAUCUACACUGCUCCAUAUAGCUCAAAAAGUGUCAAAAUGAAUUAUGCCAAAAUAACGCUACAAGUUGUCACAGAUUCUUCAUACAUGAGACAAGCACUUUACUUGUUCACAUAAGGAAUUUAACAGAAAAUUGUAAGAUAUCAGAAAUCAACCAUAUCCAUCUUCCAGAAGCAUUCAAACAUAACAAGGGCUAAAGCACAUGGUUUUGUAGAUAGAAACUUAACGAAACUCGUACUGCGACUUAUUGAAACAUUCAUUCGCUUGUUCUUUUAGAGUAUGUACCAGAUCCAAAUAGUUCAAACUAACAACGAGGAACAUAGGUGGAUCAAAACAAAAUAAAUUGAACUAUUCAAAUACAACAAUGAAACUGGUUAUGAAUACGUAGGUUUUAGCAUUCAAACAUUCAGCGAAUCCUUUGAGAAAAUUACUUGAAUCUAUCUAAACAUGACCAACUUUUCAUCAUUUGCUGUUAAAAAAAAGGAACCUGCAUUACAAAAGUUUAGAAGGUUACCUGAAUAGCAGAAAGUAAACAUAUUAACAAUGACUGAAGCAACAGAAACCAGCAACAACCAGCAGCUCUUAGACCAAAGAAAAUGAACCAAAGAUGACCAACAAAGCAAUUGAAACCAACAAUGAGUCACUCUAGAAAUUCCUUACAAGAUCCCUCUACUUUCUUAAAGGUUUUGCACUUAAGAAAUCACUCAUUAAGCUCAGAAUUUUCAGCUUACUAUUUAGGUGUUCAGCUGCUCUUCUUUACUCUCAAAGUUGUAUUCUUUUGCUAAGUGUGUAAGAAGUGUAUUUUUUAGAGUAAAAGAUGUCUAGAAGAUGUGUAAAGACCUCACCUUUAUAUGAGAGGAGGAGGACUCUUGGGAUAGAUUUUAUUUUUCCAAAAAUCUGUCCAAAAUAAUGGAUUUUUGACCAAAAAUCUUUCCAAAACCAGAAUUUUAGUUACUGAACAGUUUUUCUUACCAAUUGUGGACAGAAUUUUGGAGUAUUGUACUCCAAAAUAGUCCGCAACAGUAAAAGCAACCAAACAAAGAACCCUACACUUAAGUAUUCUCUUUUCUUUCCCUUUCCUCUUAAUUUCUCAAACCAAAUUCAAAGCUAACUAGUCCACAAAAAGAAAUCAGAUUCAAUCUAGUUCAAAUAGUUAGUAAUUUGAAUAAGAUUAGUUGAGAGUCAACCAGUAAGAAUUAAACAAGACUGAACCAUAUAAUUACCUAUACUAAACAACUACUUCAAGUUUAAUCUAGUUAAUUAGUAUUCACACUAAAUCUUUAAACGCACAAACUAUUAACUCAAACUAAAACAUGACAUCAUAAGAAAACAACUCAAAACUACAAUCCAGUAGGUGAUUCAAGCCUAACGAGUGACUAAGCAUUAUCACCAAAAUCAAACUAUACUAACAUAAACAAACUAAGUCUAAGUUUAAUUCUAAAAACUAUCGAAAUCAAAAUUAAAGAAGCAUGGAAUGACAGAUUUAAGAUUUCAAAAGCAACUACCAAUAUUAAUGAUCAGAGACGGGAACAAAACAUGACGAUUAGGCAAAACGUGUAUUAAUAGUGGCAUAUUCCAUCAAAAUUGAUUAACUUGAACAAUGACAAAAAUAAGAAAUUAGACUAAACAUGAAUGUUAAAUAAAAAAAAUAUAAACAGAAUUUAAUCUACAACAAAACUACAAACAAAUGACACAGAAAUAGAAAAAUCAAAACUUUAGAGGAAACGAUAAGGGUUUGAGAUUUAUACCAAGCUCCGGGAUAUCCGACGUCGAAUCGGGCAACGAGAUGAUGCUGAGGACGCCAAAUGGUAGCUUUCCGACCUUGGAACAUUCGUUUCCUUUUGGAAUACGCUGAACUCAAUGAACCCAACAUCAUGCUAAGAGGAAACAAAUAUUCUUGGGUCGAAACUAGGCAAAAAAAUAAUAGAAGGGUCAGCGGGCUGGUGGCAGUGGUGAUUAGACGGCGAGCAGUAGGGUGGUCGACGGUGGUGGUCGGGUUUCAAAGGUAAAAUUAGAGGGAAAGUGUAGACCUCCUGGAGAUCUACAUGUUUAUGUGAAGUUUGUAUAGUGGGGUGGUCGGAUUUUCCUUGAAAUCGAAGAGGGAAGUAAGAGGCGACUAUCUAGGGUUUCGUUUUCACGGAAUUUAGAGGGAUUUUUGAGGAUUUGGGGUUCGGAUUAGGAGAGACGGUAAAGAGAGGAAGAGAUUGGUGUGGGUUUUAUGGGCUUUGGACGAGGUCCAUCGGUGGCAGCAAUUUUCGGCCGACGGAGAUGGGCGGCAGAAGGCAGUCUCUAAGAAGAGAGGAGAGAGUAAGAAGAGAGAGGAAGAAAAGGGAGAUAAGGGGGAAAUGGGGGCAAUUUU